This 92-nucleotide transfer RNA is filed under the name Eubacteriales Family XIII. Incertae Sedis bacterium. Its description in RNAcentral is "tRNA-Ser". It matches the Rfam family "tRNA". From Rfam's summary of the family: Transfer RNA (tRNA) molecules are approximately 80 nucleotides in length. Their secondary structure includes four short double-helical elements and three loops (D, anti-codon, and T loops). Lineage: Bacteria; Bacillati; Bacillota; Clostridia; Peptostreptococcales; Anaerovoracaceae. The record is from RNAcentral.
GGAGAAGUACUCAAGCAGGCUGAAGAGGACGGUUUGCUAAACCGUUAGGCUGGGCAACCGGUGCCCGGGUUCGAAUCCCGGCUUCUCCGCCA